UUCUCUGGACACCUAUAUUGGCUUUAUAUACAGGCACCUACACAGACAUCUCCAAGGUGGAUAUUAACUAGGACACCUCACUACCACACUAUGACAGGUAAAGUAGUUAGGACACCUCACUAUGACAGGUAAAGUAGCUAGGACACCUCACUACCUCACUAUGACAGGUAAAGUAGUUAGGACACCUCACUAUGACAGGUAAAGUAGCUAGGACACCUCACUACCACACUAUGACAGGUAAAGUAGUUAGGACACCUCACUACCUCACUAUGACAGGUAAAGUAGUUAGGACACCUCACUAUUACACUAUGACAGGUAAAGUAGUCAGGACACCUCACUACCACACUAUGACAGGUAAAGUAGUUAGGACACCUCACUAUUACACUAUGACAGGUAAAGUAGUCAGGACACCUCACUACCACACUAUGACAGGUAAAGUAGCUAGGACACCUCACUACCACACUAUGACAGGUAAAGUAGUUAGGACACCUCACUACCACACUAUGACAGGUAAAGUAGCCAGGACACCUCACUAUGACAGGUAAAGUAGCCAGGACACCUCACUAUGACAGGUAAAGUAGCUAGGACACCUCACUACCUCACUAUGACAGGUAAAGUAGCUAGGACACCUCACUAUGACAGGUAAAGUAGUUAGGACACCUCACUACCACACUAUGACAGGUAAAGUAGUUAGGACACCUCACUACCACACUAUGACAGGUAAAGUAGCCAGGACACCUCACUAUGACAGGUAAAGUAGUUAGGACACCUCACUAUGACAGGUAAAGUAGUUAGGACACCUCACUACCACACUAUGACAGGUAAAGUAGUUAGGACACCUCACUAUGACAGGUAAAGUAGCUAGGACACCUCACUACCACACUAUGACAGGUAAAGUAGCUAGGACACCUCACUACCACACUAUGACAGGUAAAGUAGUUAGGACACCUCACUACCACACUAUGACAGGUAAAGUAGUUAGGACACCUCACUACCACACUAUGACAGGUAAAGUAGUUAGGACACCUCACUACCACACUAUGACAGGUAAAGUAGUUAGGACACCUCACUAUGACAGGUAAAGUAGCUAGGACACCUCACUACCUCACUAUGACAGGUAAAGUAGUUAGGACACCUCACUAUGACAGGUAAAGUAGCUAGGACACCUCACUAUGACAGGUAAAGUAGUCAGGACACCUCACUACCACACUAUGACAGGUAAAGUAGCUAGGACACCUCACUACCACACUAUGACAGGUAAAGUAGUCAGGACACCUCACUAUGACAGGUAAAGUAGUUAGGACACCUCACUACCACACUAUGACAGGUAAAGUAGUCAGGACACCUCACUAUGACAGGUAAAGUAGUUAGGACACCUCACUACCACACUAUGACAGGUAAAGUAGUCAGGACACCACACUAUGACAGGUAAAGUAGUCAGGACACCUCACUACCACACUAUGACAGGUAAAGUAGUUAGGACACCUCACUACCACACUAUGACAGGUAAAGUAGUCAGGACACCUCACUACCACACUAUGACAGGUAAAGUAGUUAGGACACCUCACUAUGACAGGUAAAGUAGUUAGGACACCUCACUACCACACUAUGACAGGUAAAGUAGCUAGGACACCUCACUACCACACUAUGACAGGUAAAGUAGCUAGGACACCUCACUACCACACUAUGACAGGUAAAUUAGUCAGGACACCUCACUACCACACUAUGACAGGUAAAGUAGCUAGGACACCUCACUACCACACUAUGACAGGUAAAGUAGUCAGGACACCUCACUACCACACUAUGACAGGUAAAGUAGUUAGGACACCUCACUAUGACAGGUAAAGUAGUUAGGACACCUCACUACCACACUAUGACAGGUAAAGUAGUUAGGACACCUCACUAUGACAGGUAAAGUAGCUAGGACACCUCACUACCACACUAUGACAGGUAAAGUAGCUAGGACACCUCACUAUGACAGGUAAAGUAGUCAGGACACCUCACUACCACACUAUGACAGGUAAAGUAGCCAGGACACCUCACUACCACACUAUGACAGGUAAAGUAGCUAGGACACCUCACUAUGACAGGUAAAGUAGUCAGGACACCUCACUACCACACUAUGACAGGUAAAGUAGCCAGGACACCUCACUAUGACAGGUAAAGUAGUCAGGACACCUCACUACCACACUAUGACAGGUAAAGUAGUUAGGACACCUCACUAUGACAGGUAAAGUAGUUAGGACACCACACUAUGACAGGUAAAGUAGUCAGGACACCACACUAUGACAGGUAAAGUAGUUAGGACACCUCACUAUGACAGGUAAAGUAGUUAGGACACCUCACUACCACACUAUGACAGGUAAAGUAGCCAGGACACCUCACUACCACACUAUGACAGGUAAAGUAGUUAGGACACCUCACUACCACACUAUGACAGGUAAAGUAGUUAGGACACCUCACUACCACACUAUGACAGGUAAAGUAGUUAGGACACCUCACUACCACACUAUGACAGGUAAAGUAGUCAGGACACCUCACUACCACACUAUGACAGGUAAAGUAGCUAGGACACCUCACUACCACACUAUGACAGGUAAAGUAGUUAGGACACCUCACUACCACACUAUGACAGGUAAAGUAGUUAGGACACCUCACUAUGACAGGUAAAGUAGUUAGGACACCUCACUAUGACAGGUAAAGUAGUUAGGACACCACACUAUGACAGGUAAAGUAGUUAGGACACCUCACUACCACACUAUGACAGGUAAAGUAGUUAGGACACCUCACUACCACACUAUGACAGGUAAAGUAGCCAGGACACCUCACUAUGACAGGUAAAGUAGUUAGGACACCUCACUACCACACUAUGACAGGUAAAGUAGUUAGGACACCUCACUACCACACUAUGACAGGUAAAGUAGUUAGGACACCUCACUACCACACUAUGACAGGUAAAGUAGCUAGGACACCUCACUACCACACUAUGACAGGUAAAGUAGUUAGGACACCUCACUACCACACUAUGACAGGUAAAGUAGUUAGGACACCUCACUACCACACUAUGACAGGUAAAGUAGUUAGGACACCUCACUACCACACUAUGACAGGUAAAGUAGCUAGGACACCUCACUAUGACAGGUAAAGUAGUUAGGACACCUCACUACCACACUAUGACAGGUAAAGUAGUUAGGACACCUCACUAUGACAGGUAAAGUAGCUAGGACACCUCACUACCACACUAUGACAGGUAAAGUAGUUAGGACACCUCACUACCACACUAUGACAGGUAAAGUAGCUAGGACACCUCACUACCACACUAUGACAGGUAAAGUAGUUAGGACACCUCACUACCACACUAUGACAGGUAAAGUAGUUAGGACACCUCACU
Long non-coding RNA from Salvelinus fontinalis (brook trout), 3391 nucleotides. RefSeq lists it as uncharacterized. Lineage: Eukaryota; Metazoa; Chordata; Actinopteri; Salmoniformes; Salmonidae. The transcript is spliced from 5 exons. The record is from RefSeq and is a predicted model, not a curated record.